CAUUAUACAGGGCGACAGGCAUGGCAGCAGUUUCUGGUGCACAUGUUGCCUGUCUCCCGGUGACAGAAGAUAACAGAGGACUAAGAGCGCACAUAUACCUCAAGAGCCCUAAGGCUGCCACAGGAGAGUAAACAACUCCACCCAGCACUGCUCCAGGCCGGGUGCAGAGGCCGCAUUCCUGAAGGCUUCAGUGCAAUAGGAACAAGCCGGGCCAGUUCCUAUCAGGCAACAAAAACACUCCUCGAGGUUCUCAGAACGCACAACAUUUCAAGAGGAAAUAAAAACCCCAAGAUAAAUUUCGGCAGAUCCUUAUUCUCGCUAUACACAGCUGCACUUCUCCCUCCUCACCCUGCUUCUUCCCUAGUUCUGUCUUCCUGUUAAGCCUCACAAAAACAGAUGAUCCUUUCCCGAAGGGACCACAUAGAAGGUUCUGGAAGCACCUGUGCUGCACCUGGAUUCUGGGGCUCUCCAUUCCUAUCUGAGGUCUGGCUCCUUAGCAAACGCUACAUUGGCUAAGAAAAAGAUGAAGACUUCAAUGAGGUCAUCAUAGGCACCCAAAUAAAAAGAAAGGAACAGAGGUGCAGACAGUUCUCUGGAGAAAAUGAAGCCACCGGCAGUAUUUUCAGUGAAUCAAAUUGGAGGGUCACCUGAUGUCUUGGUUCGCUGGGUCAGCUUGGACGCACCCUGCUGCAUGGAGGGGCCAUACACGGCUUCAUAUAAAUGAGGGACGCACACUGCAAAAUGAAAUGUCUGCUGGAGGCUGUGGUAGAGGAAGCCCUAAUCUGAUUUACCUCCCGGCGGUGUCCUGCUUUCAAUCCAAUUUUCUGGACAGUUAGAUUGAGAUAGAAUCAAAAUGGGAUUUGCCAGGAGCAAAAGAAAGAUAUUUCUGUCCCCUGGCCUUUGUCUUUAUUAGAGAUCACCCUAGAGUUAGCCAAAUUGUACAGGAAAUCCAAGGUUCAUCAUACAACUUUGCUUCAGAGCCUUUGACUCAGGAGCUGUGGCUGGCGGGCAGUGCUGUGGACAGGAAGGCAGACCUAGGGAUCCUUCCUUGCCCCGGCCCCUCCUCUCCAUCUCUCGCCCCACUCCCUCUGCUCCACCCACCCGUUAGGGGGCGCUUCCUUAUCCAGGCUCCUGACCAGAAAAGCAAAUACAAAUAUGAUCAAAGUACAACUACUCCUCCAAAAUACCCGGUCAACCCUUAGACAUUCGCUACAACAUGAAAAUUAAAAUCCCUCUUCUCCUGUAGAUGUAUUCUAAUUAGAAGAAACAGAUGCUCAUAUCAUUCUGUGAAAGAGCAAAAUUUCAUUCAUAUAUGGCCUGCAUGUUACCAAAAACAAAAGCCCAAAAUGUGAUAAUAAUCAAAAAGCAUCUUCCACUGAACUUGUUUUAGGUAAUAAAUAAAUAAAUAAAUAAAUAAAUAAAUAAAUAAAUAAAUUCUAACUCCGUAUUCUAAAAGUUUUGAAAUUAAAGAAUGGAAUCCUAUUAUAUUCAAUCAUUAGAAUAUCCACACGUAGAUCAAAUCUGGAAAAAAGGCACAGUUUAAGUUUUAAGAGGAUUUAAUAUGUGGC
RNAcentral lists this long non-coding RNA (1568 nucleotides) under Homo sapiens (human). RNAcentral describes it as "LHRI_LNC257.1". The record is from RNAcentral. Lineage: Eukaryota; Metazoa; Chordata; Mammalia; Primates; Hominidae.